AAAGUGACUGAAUCAGUUAAAAGACAACAUGCAAUUAUACUACAAUGAUACAAGUACAUCACAAACAAAUCAAAUCAAAACUCAUUUUACUUUGUAGACUAUACAAUGAAAAUAAUGAUAACAAUUUAAUGCAAAAACUGCCCACAUUUGUUCUCUAAUGAACAAGUCAGUAAUGUGGUUUGGAGUCACCUAUACAUAGGUAUCAGAAACCAGCAAAACAACAAGAUCGCAUACUAAGGAACAUUUCCAGAUUCAAGGAAAACCAAUAAAACAGAAUCAGAAACUCAGCUAGCUGAAACUCUUGUCGAAGGCUUUAUUUUAAUGACAGAAUCAGAUAUCAAAAGCUUAGGGUAAUCCAACGUAAAUAGGAAUUCCAAAUACAAAAUUUCAGAACCAGAACAUGGAGAAACCUAAGACCUUAUCAAGCACAACUCA
Molecule: long non-coding RNA, 435 nt
Organism: Telopea speciosissima
Lineage: Eukaryota; Viridiplantae; Streptophyta; Magnoliopsida; Proteales; Proteaceae
Exons: 2
Source: RefSeq, a predicted model, not a curated record